AUGAACGCUAGCGGCAGGCUUAAUACAUGCAAGUCGAGGGCAGCAGGGAUAGCAAUAUUCGCUGGCGACCGGCGCACGGGUGCGUAACGCGUAUGCAAUCUACCUUUCACAGAGGGAUAGCCCAGAGAAAUUUGGAUUAAUACCUCAUAGUAUAACAUGACCGCAUGGUCGAGUUAUUAAAGUCACAACGGUGAAAGAUGAGCAUGCGUCCCAUUAGCUAGUUGGUAAGGUAACGGCUUACCAAGGCUACGAUGGUAGGGGGUCCUGAGAGGGAGAUCCCCCACACUGGUACUGAGACACGGACCAGACUCCUACGGGAGGCAGCAGUGAGGAAUAUUGGUCAAUGGGCGCAAGCCUGAACCAGCCAUGCCGCGUGCAGGAUGACGGUCCUAUGGAUUGUAAACUGCUUUUGUACAGGAAGAAACACUCCCUCGUGAGGGAGCUUGACGGUACUGUAAGAAUAAGGAUCGGCUAACUCCGUG
Molecule: ribosomal RNA, 482 nt
Filed under: uncultured bacterium
Lineage: Bacteria
Description: bacterial SSU rRNA
Rfam family: Bacterial small subunit ribosomal RNA
Source: RNAcentral